AACGAACGCUGGCGGCAUGCCUAACACAUGCGAGUCGAACGAGACCUUCGGGUCUAGUGGCGAACGGGUGCGUAACGCGUGGGAACCUGCCCUUAGGUUCGGAAUAACUCCCCGAAAGGGGUGCUAAUACCGGAUAAUGUCUUCGGACCAAAGAUUUAUCGCCUUUGGAUGGGCCCGCGUUGGAUUAGCUAGUUGGUAGGGUAAAAGCCUACCAAGGCGACGAUCCAUAGCUGGUCUGAGAGGAUGAUCAGCCACACUGGGACUGAGACACGGCCCAGACUCCUACGGGAGGCAGCAGUGGGGAAUAUUGGACAAUGGGCGAAAGCCUGAUCCAGCAAUGCCGCGUGAGUGAUGAAGGCCUUAGGGUUGUAAAGCUCUUUUACCCGGGAUGAUAAUGACAGUACCGGGAGAAUAAGCUCCGGCUAACUCCGUG
This 433-nucleotide ribosomal RNA is filed under the name uncultured bacterium. Its description in RNAcentral is "partial 16S ribosomal RNA". It matches the Rfam family "Bacterial small subunit ribosomal RNA", at positions 29 to 507 of the family's 1533-position model. The record is from RNAcentral.